AUGCAGCCGUACGCGCAGUCGUCGGUUGUCAACCGCCCCUGCCGGAAGCUCUCCUGCAAGUUCUACGGUCCAUUCAUGGUGGCCGAACGAAUCGGCACCCUGGCGUAUCGUCUUCAACUGCCAGCGGACAGCAGCAUCCAUCCGGUAUUCCAUGUUUCGCAGUUGAAGCCUUAUACUCCUGAUUACACUCCUGUUUUCUCUGAGCCGCCACAAAUACCAGACUUGGUCACCGGCAACGCGGAACCAGUGGCCAUCGUGGAGCGUCGCAUGAUGAAGAAAGGGGAUGCACCAGUGAUCCAGCUACAAGUUCAGUGGUCCAACAGACCCUCGACAGCCACCACUUGGGAAGACUACGACAUCCUCAAAGAGCGCUAUCCAUCGACCUGCAUUUGGGAGGGAGCUCCAUCAGAAGACGGGGGCAAUGUCACGCCUGCAGAUGACGAUCUGCAGCGGACUGCAAGUGUAGUUCAGUUAACUGUUGUUAACUGA
Molecule: ribosomal RNA, 489 nt
Filed under: Triticum aestivum (bread wheat)
Lineage: Eukaryota; Viridiplantae; Streptophyta; Magnoliopsida; Poales; Poaceae
Description: partial small subunit ribosomal RNA
Source: RNAcentral